Molecule: long non-coding RNA, 964 nt
Organism: Chinchilla lanigera (long-tailed chinchilla)
Lineage: Eukaryota; Metazoa; Chordata; Mammalia; Rodentia; Chinchillidae
Exons: 2
Source: RefSeq, a predicted model, not a curated record
CUUGGAGCCAGCCACGUAUGGACUGAAACCUCCACAAACUAAAGAACUCCGUGUGUUGGGAGCGCAGCUCAGCGGGGCACAGUUCUUGCCUAGCAUGUGCGAAACUUUGGGUCAUUCUCCAGCACUACAAACAAACAAGCAAACAAAAUCGCAAAUAAAUAAAACCACCUUCUGGCCUGGAAGAAAACGGUAAAGAAUUUGAAAGCCCAAGAACUCUGGAGGGGGAAACCUUUCUGCUCUUCCUCAAAGCAGUGACAGGAAGUAAGGGCAUCAGUCCCAGCCUGACAGCCUUUCAGUGACAGUGUCCUGAGGCUCAGGGAACCCGGCCCUCCUGGAUGUACCUACUCCUGCGCUGGACGGGCCCUUUAACCAGUUGUCUCCGGUGAGAGAAAACAGAAACGUGUGCGUGUGUUUUGAGGAAGUGGAGCCAACACAACUGCUUGUGGGUCAAACUGCUUAGUUUCACAGAGCCCUUUUCUUCUAUUCAGAUUCCAUUGGGCUCUGUAUUCCUCCUGUGUCAGGGCCUGGGCCUGGGUUCUCCUGACAAAAAGAGCUACGAGAGCUUCCGCAUCCCAGCGACAAUGCCAACUCCAAGCCUUUGCCUCCGGCUGUCUUGCCCAUUCCCUGUGUCUCGAGACUCUCAGUCACUCCUCUUGCACACCCGUCUGUACUGGGCUGGCCUCAGGCCCCUUCGUUCCUGUCCAGAGCUCUGUUUCAGCUUCCGCUUCAGACUAGGAGAACAGGCAUCUCCCACUUUUUCCUGGAAGUCCCAACAGAGGCUGUGAGAAAGUGCUGCAUGAAGUAACGGAAGAGAAGUUGAGGAGGAAACCACAGCCUGUGUCACCUGCCCCUCACCUUCACAGUGGGACAUUCUAGCCGGGAUGGGCAGGGGUAGGGCAGAGCUGGGGAGAAGGAGAGCGUUGUCAAAAUAAAUGUAAGACAAGCUAAGCCCCAGCGAUACCGA